GGGCGCUUAGCUCAGCUGGCUAGAGCAUUUCAUUUACACUGAAAGGGUCGGGGGUUCAAAUCCCUCAGCGCCCACCA
Molecule: transfer RNA, 77 nt
Filed under: Candidatus Dojkabacteria bacterium
Lineage: Bacteria
Description: tRNA-Val
Rfam family: tRNA
About the family: Transfer RNA (tRNA) molecules are approximately 80 nucleotides in length. Their secondary structure includes four short double-helical elements and three loops (D, anti-codon, and T loops).
Source: RNAcentral